GGAAGAAAGAAGAGAAGAAGAAGAAGGAGAGGGAAAGAGAGAGAGGAAAGCAUGGAGAGAGCAAAUCUUAACCGAUUUGAGUGAUUCAAAAGCCUAAAUCGCUUAGAAUCUCGCCCUCUUUCAUAAUCCUAGUCUAGUUUUGAGUGGGGAGCAUUGUGGAGAGGGAUAUCCUCCUCCAAAAAUUCGGCCCAUUGGAGAAAUUGAGGUGUUUGAGAGCUUCAACCUCCAUUGAAGCUUGAGGAGCCAUCAAUCCUUGGUUGUGUGACCAUUGGUGGAUUGAGGCAAGAGGACCAAGUGGAGUGACCAACCCUUAGGGUUGUGUGCAAUUGAGGAAAGCUCAAGAGCAAGGUAAGGAAGCUGCAGGAGCCUCUGAUGGCAAGUGACCAUAUUUGCAGUAGAUCAUGCAUGAAGAAAAUGAUGUUUUGAGAUCAUACAUGUUAUUUUGUAGAUUUACAUGUAUAAGAUUGAUCAUUGAUAGCAUUGACGUAUGUAUAUCUCGUUAUAUUUGAUGGACUUAGCCUAUGAUCAUGCCAUUGGAUAUCUCUUUUGUUGAUGAGAGCCAAGGGAUGGUCAUAGCCUUUUGUAGCUAAGUUCCCCGUUAUGUAAUUAAACUUGUGUUAAUGUUAUUUACUUCAA
Molecule: long non-coding RNA, 636 nt
Organism: Gastrolobium bilobum
Lineage: Eukaryota; Viridiplantae; Streptophyta; Magnoliopsida; Fabales; Fabaceae
Exons: 3
Source: RefSeq, a predicted model, not a curated record